Molecule: ribosomal RNA, 253 nt
Filed under: uncultured bacterium
Lineage: Bacteria
Description: partial 16S ribosomal RNA
Rfam family: Bacterial small subunit ribosomal RNA
Source: RNAcentral
UACGUAGGGAGCAAGCGUUGUCCGGAAUCAUUGGGCGUACAGCGCGCGUAGGUGGCCUCAUAAGUCCGCUGUGAAAGUCAAAGGCUCAACCUUUGAAAGCCGGUGGAUACUGUGAGGCUAGAGUACGGAAGAGGCGAGUGGAAUUCCUGGUGUAGCGGUGGAAUGCGCAGAUAUCAGGAGGAACACCAAUAGCGAAGGCAGCUCGCUGGGACGUUACUGACACUGAGGCGCGAAAGCGUGGGGAGCGAACAGG